RNAcentral lists this ribosomal RNA (520 nucleotides) under uncultured Alphaproteobacteria bacterium. Its description in RNAcentral is "bacterial SSU rRNA". It matches the Rfam family "Bacterial small subunit ribosomal RNA", at positions 357 to 900 of the family's 1533-position model. The record is from RNAcentral. Lineage: Bacteria; Pseudomonadati; Pseudomonadota; Alphaproteobacteria.
UAAAAGAAAACAGAAGUGUGGGCAAGUAUUUGUUGUGCUGUGUGCAGAAUGAACGCUUGUCUGUUGUUUCCUCUUUUAAUAACGGUGAAAUGACGGAGUUCGUUAUGAAGUCCCCGGCUAUAUUUGUGCCAGCACCCGUGAUUUUAUGGAGGGGGGCAGCGUUGUACGGAAUUUCUGGGCGUUAAGCGCGCGCAUGGGGAUUAAUAAGUUGGUGGUGAGAUCCCGAAGUUCAACCCUGGAACUGCCUUCUUACUGUCAAUCGAUAGUUCGUGAUAGGUGAGUGGAGUUCUCACGGUGUAGGUGAAAUUCGUGUAUAUUUGGAGAAAUGCACUGGGUAACGCGGCUCACUGGUUGCAAACUGACACUGUUGUGCAAAAGUGUGGGGAGCGAACAGGAAUAUAUACCCUGGUAUACCAAUUGCGAUAAACAAUAAGUGCUCUACCCUAUGCGAGAAUACCUUCCUGUGACUGUCUAACCAAUUAAUUAUUCCUCCUGCGGAGUAAGGUCGCACGCUUAAAAC